Molecule: ribosomal RNA, 253 nt
Filed under: uncultured bacterium
Lineage: Bacteria
Description: partial 16S ribosomal RNA
Rfam family: Bacterial small subunit ribosomal RNA
Source: RNAcentral
UACGUAGGCAGCGAGCGUUGUUCGGAAUUACUGGGCGUAAAGAGCGUGUAGGCGGCCAGGUAGGUCAGCUGUGAAAACUCGAGGCUCAACCUCGAGAUGUCGGCUGAAACCAUCUGGCUAGAGUCCGGAAGAGGAGAAUGGAAUUCCCGGUGUAGCGGUGAAAUGCGCAGAUAUCGGGAAGAACACCCGUGGCGAAGGCGGUUCUCUGGGACGGUACUGACGCUGAGAAACGAAAGCUAGGGGAGCGAAGGGG